Molecule: ribosomal RNA, 122 nt
Organism: Ochotona princeps (American pika)
Lineage: Eukaryota; Metazoa; Chordata; Mammalia; Lagomorpha; Ochotonidae
Source: Ensembl
UCCUGAAUGCACACCAUCCUGAAUAUACACCCAGUCUCGGCUGAUCUCGGAAGCAAAGCAGAAUCUGGCCUGGUUAGAACUUGGAUGGGAAAGACCUGCUCAGGGAGCAGGGUUUUCCCUAG